Molecule: long non-coding RNA, 884 nt
Organism: Phyllostomus discolor (pale spear-nosed bat)
Lineage: Eukaryota; Metazoa; Chordata; Mammalia; Chiroptera; Phyllostomidae
Exons: 2
Source: RefSeq, a predicted model, not a curated record
AGGGGAUGCUGGUGGGGGGAGGGGAGAGGAGGGGCGGGGCGGAAAGGAGGGCCGGUUGCCUGAGGAGGGGCAAGUUCCUGCUGGGAAGGACCCCGCCUGUUUUCGCCCUCGCUCGACACCGCUGAGCGUCCCCAGAGCCCAUACCCGGGUCUGGAAGCAUCCAGCAAGCCCCCUGCAGCCUCCGCCCCUGCAAACUUCAGGUUGGAUCGUGUUGCAAAAGAGUCCUCUCUUUCUGGAGGUCUGCAUGCCCCAUAGCUCCCUGGGGGAAUUCUGACCCACCGGAACAUAAAUUUGCCUUUUACUGUUAGAGAACCGCCCUGCCGCCAGCCCCCUUCUCGGUGCCAGUGCCAAGUUGAGAAGGGCGCAGGGGCCGGAAAGCCCUGGGCCUGCGGAGGUAGGCCUGGGAGAGCCCGCUCUCGGUGGGUUUGGGGAAACGACCAGAAGUCUAUGAUCUCGCUUUUGUCAUCCGUGUGCCGUGUUUAUAGUACCAUCCACAGAGAGAGGAGCCUGAGAGCUGCAGAAGCAAAGUCGGGAAACCUGUGUGACACUCCCUUCUGUUAGACCUAAAGCAAGCCUCUCACCAGCCUCUCUGGGCCCACGUUUUCUUGUCUGCAAAUCAAGGUCUUCAAGAGAGGACCGUUAGAGCUGCCCACCAGAUUUGAAAUUCUGUGUGCAAACUUCCCCAAGGGCAGCCGAAAGGAUCAGGAGGCCUUUGCCUACUCCCAGGGAUCCCCAGUGUUUGAAACUUUGAGAUUUUUCCGGUUGAAGACAAGCAAGUCAUAUUUUCAGUGCCUUUGGAAGAGGAAAGGAGAAAGUUUGUUCUUCUGGUUAUUCUUUUACCACAAAUAUGGAAAAUAAAUGUUGCUUGUGACCACACACACACA